CCUUGUACWCACCGCCCGUCWCGGACGAMMGUGGGUACGGGGUCUAGCCGGGGGCCCCACCCCUUGWGGSAUGUGUGUGGGUUGAAWGCUCCKGGGGAGAAGGAYGAACCCGCGGCCUAUCARCUUGUUGGUGAGGUAAUGGCUCACCAAGGCGACGACGGGUAGCCGGCCUGAGAGGGCGACCGGCCACACUGGGACUGAGACACGGCCCAGACUCCUACGGGAGGCAGCAGUGGGGAAUAUUGCACAAUGGGCGAAAGCCUGAUGCAGCGACGCCGCGUGAGGGAUGACGGCCUUCGGGUUGUAAACCUCUUUCAGCAGGGAAGAAGCGAAAGUGACGGUACCUGCAGAAGAAGCGCCGGCUAACUACGUGCCAGCAGCCGCGGUAAUACGUASGGCGCAAGCGUUGUCCGGAAUUAUUGGGCGUAAAGAGCUCGUAGGCGGCUUGUCACGUCRGGUGUGAAAGCCCGGGGCUUAWCCCCGGGUCUGCAUUCGAUACGGGCUAGCUAGAGUGUGGUAGGGGAGAUCGGAAUUCCUGGUGUAKCGGUGAWAUGCGCAGAUAUCAAGAGGAACACMGGUGGCSAACGCGGAUCUCYGGGCCAUUACUGACGCUGAAGARCGAAAKCGUGGGAGCGAAC
RNAcentral lists this ribosomal RNA (638 nucleotides) under Streptomyces sp. P86. Its description in RNAcentral is "partial 16S ribosomal RNA". It matches the Rfam family "Bacterial small subunit ribosomal RNA", at positions 129 to 773 of the family's 1533-position model. Lineage: Bacteria; Bacillati; Actinomycetota; Actinomycetes; Kitasatosporales; Streptomycetaceae. The record is from RNAcentral.